RNAcentral lists this ribosomal RNA (880 nucleotides) under uncultured bacterium. RNAcentral describes it as "bacterial SSU rRNA". It matches the Rfam family "Bacterial small subunit ribosomal RNA", at positions 606 to 1500 of the family's 1533-position model. The record is from RNAcentral.
GGCUCAACCGUAAAAUUGCCAUUGAAACUGGCGAACUUGAGUACAGUAGAGGUAGGCGGAAUUCGUGGUGUAGCGGUGAAAUGCUUAGAUAUCACGAAGAACUCCGAUUGCGAAGGCAGCUUGCUGGACUGUAACCGACGCUGAGGCACGAAAGCGUGGGGAUCAAACAGGAUUAGAUACCCUGGUAGUCCACGCCGUAAACGAUGAAUGCUAGCUGUUAGCGAUAUACUGUUAGCGGCACAGAGAAAUCGUUAAGCAUUCCACCUGGGGAGUACGCCGGCAACGGUGAAACUCAAAGGAAUUGACGGGGGCCCGCACAAGCGGAGGAACAUGUGGUUUAAUUCGAUGAUACGCGAGGAACCUUACCUGGGCUUAAAUUGCAGUGGAAUAACGUGGAAACAUGUUAGCCUUCGGGCCGCUGUGAAGGUGCUGCAUGGUUGUCGUCAGCUCGUGCCGUGAGGUGUCGGCUUAAGUGCCAUAACGAGCGCAACCCUCAUCGAUAGUUACUAACAGGUUAAGCUGAGGACUCUAUCGAGACUGCCGACGUAAGUCGUGAGGAAGGUGGGGAUGACGUCAAAUCAGCACGGCCCUUACGUCCAGGGCUACACACGUGUUACAAUGGGGGGUACAAAGGGCAGCUACCUGGCGACAGGAUGCUAAUCUCAAAAACCUCUCUCAGUUCGGAUUGGAGUCUGCAACCCGACUCCAUGAAGCUGGAUUCGCUAGUAAUCGCGCAUCAGCCACGGCGCGGUGAAUACGUUCCCGGGCCUUGUACACACCGCCCGUCAAGCCAUGGGAGCCGGGGGGACCUGAAGUAUGCAACCGUAAGGAGCGUCCUAGGGUAAAACUGGUGACUGGGGCUAAGUCGUAACAAGGUACC